This 73-nucleotide transfer RNA is filed under the name Cryptomonas paramaecium. RNAcentral's name for it is "Cryptomonas paramecium tRNA-Cys". It matches the Rfam family "tRNA". Rfam says of the family: Transfer RNA (tRNA) molecules are approximately 80 nucleotides in length. Their secondary structure includes four short double-helical elements and three loops (D, anti-codon, and T loops). Further hydrogen bonds mediate the characteristic L-shaped molecular structure. tRNAs have two regions of fundamental functional importance: the anti-codon, which is responsible for specific mRNA codon recognition, and the 3' end, to which the tRNAs corresponding amino acid is attached (by aminoacyl-tRNA synthetases). tRNAs cope with the degeneracy of the genetic code in two manners: having more than one tRNA (with a specific anti-codon) for a particular amino acid; and 'wobble' base-pairing, i.e. permitting non-standard base-pairing at the 3rd anti-codon position. The record is from RNAcentral. Lineage: Eukaryota; Cryptophyceae; Cryptomonadales; Cryptomonadaceae.
GGCGGCAUAGCCAAGUGGCAAAGGCAAUGGAUUGCAAAUCCUUUAUUCCUCGGUUCAAGUCCGAGUGCUGCCU